Molecule: unclassified non-coding RNA, 305 nt
Filed under: plant metagenome
Description: partial contains 5.8S ribosomal RNA, internal transcribed spacer 2, and large subunit ribosomal RNA
Rfam family: 5.8S ribosomal RNA (bases 1-105)
Source: RNAcentral
GAAAUGCGAUAAGUAAUGUGAAUUGCAGAAUUCAGUGAAUCAUCGAAUCUUUGAACGCACAUUGCGCCCGCCAGUAUUCUGGCGGGCAUGCCUGUUCGAGCGUCAUUUCAACCAUCAAGCCCCCGGCUUGUGUUGGGGACCUGCGGCUGCCCGCAGGCCCUGAAAAACAGUGGCGGGCUCGCUGUCACACCGAGCGUAGUAGCAUACAUUCUCGCUCAGGGCGUGCUGCGGGUUCCGGCCGUUAAACGACCUUCAUAACCCAAGGUUGACCUCGGAUCAGGUAGGAAGCCCCGCUGAACUUAAGC